UACGAAGGGGGCUAGCGUUGCUCGGAAUCACUGGGCGUAAAGGGUGCGUAGGCGGGUCUUUAAGUCAGGGGUGAAAUCCUGGAGCUCAACUCCAGAACUGCCUUUGAUACUGAAGAUCUUGAGUUCGGGAGAGGUGAGUGGAACUGCGAGUGUAGAGGUGAAAUUCGUAGAUAUCCGCAAGAACACCAGUGGCGAAGGCGGCUCACUGGCCCGAUACUGACGCUGAGGAGCGAAAGCGUGGGGAGCGAACAGG
This 253-nucleotide ribosomal RNA is filed under the name uncultured bacterium. RNAcentral's name for it is "partial 16S ribosomal RNA". It matches the Rfam family "Bacterial small subunit ribosomal RNA", at positions 524 to 776 of the family's 1533-position model. The record is from RNAcentral.